UACGUAGGGGGCGAGCGUUAUCCGGAUUUACUGGGCGUAAAGAGCGCGUAGGCGGUUCCGUAAGUUGGUUGUGAAAGUUCGAGGCUCGACCUCGAUAUUGCGUCCAAAACUGCGGGGCUUGAGUGCAAGAGAGGCAAGUGGAAUUUGCAGUGUAGUAGUGAAAUGCGUAGAUAUUGCAAGGAACACCAGUGGCGAAGGCGGCUUGCUAGCUUGUAACUGACGCUGAGGCGCGAAAGCUAGGGGAGCGAACGG
RNAcentral lists this ribosomal RNA (252 nucleotides) under uncultured bacterium. Its description in RNAcentral is "partial 16S ribosomal RNA". It matches the Rfam family "Bacterial small subunit ribosomal RNA", at positions 524 to 775 of the family's 1533-position model. The record is from RNAcentral.